UUUUUUGGAGGUGUUUUAUUUUAUUUAUUUAUUUUCUUUAAUAAAUCAAUGCUAUUGGUCACCUUUUACGUAUGUCUGUCUGUACAAAUAUAUUUAGCCUAAUAAAAGGUACUAAAAAGAGCUUGUGACAAAAUCUUUUUGGAUCCAGUCAAACCUCUUAACUCCGCCCCCUGAGUGCAGCGAACGGAAGUUCCACAGCAGAGCAGCUGAACGUCUUGCAACGUGAGACCUGACAGAACAUUCCAGACUAACAUCACCACAGGCGGACAUUAAACACUCUCUCAGAUGACAAUGACAAAGACUGAAUACAGAGUCUUUGCAUUAAACAAGCAUUCAGCAUCCAUCAUGGGAAAAAAACAGCAAGGAUGCAGCAUUCACCAGUUCCCAUUUAUCUGUGGAAAAAAGUUGGAAAUUCUCAAUAGUUCCAGGAAAACUCUUUACAUUUGCACCAGAGGAGGGGUGUGGGGUCUAUCCCUCCAUCACCCACACACUGCUUUCAUCACAUCCCAGCCCCCUCAGAGGAGUCCCCAUUGGACACAACCAGAUCCUCAGAAGUGGAACGUGUUAAACGUGCAAAUAUUUCAGUUAAAAAGCUCUGACACAAAUUUAACGCCACGUGAUGCAUUUUGUCUGAAAGAAUCCUGUCUGUCGAUCGGUCUUUCUCUCUUUUAGAACUUUCACGUGUGGUGCUUUUUCAUUCGUCCAUUCCUGUGGUCCCUCCCUUGUGCUGUGAUUGGCUGUUGCGGGCAGCUCAGGUGUGCUCUCAUUGGCUCGGUUUAACAUAAGGCUCCAGGUGAAAUAGCAGGGCUCCAGUCAUGCUUAAAGGUGCAAAGACACACACACAUGCACGCACACACACACACACAGAAAAAUGCUAAUUGCACAAAAUCUAAACCAGUAGUAAGUAGAAACUACAUUGGCAAAGACGCAUGUGGAGGAAAGAAAAUUGAUGAAAUAGUCAGAAAGAAGGAAUGGAGUUUGUUCUGUGCGUUCACCAUGCGUCCCCCACCCUCCUGCUGGACCAUGCAGUGAGCUCAGAUGAUGUCAGAGAGAGAGCACAUAUGUUUCUGCUGUUACAGCAACUGUAUGGAGAAAGAAAGGGGGAGGGAGAGAAAAGAAGAAAGGAGAGAGAGGAGAAAAAAAGAGUUAUCAGAGACAGGAGGGGCUGGGCGGAUCUUGUCUGUGAUAAACCACGCCUCUCUUCAAUAAGCCACGCCUGUUUUUAAAAACUCCACUGAAUGUAAAGGGAAGGAAAUUCUCUCUCUUUUUUGUCUUUUCUUUACAGUGUUGGGGAAGAUACUUUGACAAUCUUUCUAACUACAAACUACUUAUAAUUUGAGGUAUAGUUAAAAGUAGUUGAUUGCAUCUGAUAUAGUUUAUUUUUGUACUAUUUAUCUUAUAUAGUGGACAAAAAGUAUUUAAAAAUAAAACAUUUUAAAGAUCCCCUGUGGUGAAAAUCAAGUUUUUAAUGUUGUUUAUAUGUCUAUGUGGUGUUUUAAUGUGCUUUAAGACAACCCUUGUGCAAAUUCAUAAGUCAGCACCAUUGCUGAGUAUGUUCUAUUUAAAACUGUAGUGAUCUAAAGACAAAAAAAUCUGAAAUCGCUG
Long non-coding RNA from Megalobrama amblycephala (Wuchang bream), 1605 nucleotides. RefSeq lists it as uncharacterized. The transcript is spliced from 3 exons. Lineage: Eukaryota; Metazoa; Chordata; Actinopteri; Cypriniformes; Xenocyprididae. The record is from RefSeq and is a predicted model, not a curated record.